This 631-nucleotide long non-coding RNA is filed under the name Microcebus murinus (gray mouse lemur). Its description in RNAcentral is "lncRNA (ENSMICG00000048623.1)". Lineage: Eukaryota; Metazoa; Chordata; Mammalia; Primates; Cheirogaleidae. The record is from RNAcentral.
AUGGAAACUAAAAAAGGUGACUACAAGAGAGUGAUGACAACAGCUAGGAGGGGAAACGGGGUGGCUAAUGGGAGCGUGUGGGGUGGGAGAGACCUGUGUGAUUGUGGAGGCAGACAGGGAAUUGCAGGGGAGAGGGUAAUGACAAAGAAAAGAACAGUUCUGUGUGGGAAUACAGCCUUGAAGCUGUGCUCACUCUGGGAAUUCCUCUGGGGGCAGCAGGCUUCGUUCUGGUUUAGAUCCGGCAAGCUGAAGAGAGAGCUUCUGCCUGGUGCCCCACGGCAUACACUUGCUGCUUUGGUGGCGGGAGCUGGCGCCGUUGCAGCCUGGAUAGAGGCACCUCGUAAAUUCGUCCAUCCCGAGAAAUUCGUGGAUAGCUCACCUUGUUUUCGUGGAUCCUACACAAGCAAAGCUGGUAACGUCGCUGAUGGUUUUUGAAAUGGCCACGAUAUGCCCAAAGAAUUGCAAUUUCAAUUCAUAUCAACUUUUCACAAAUCCACAUUGCGAUAUAAACCUUAUAGGAAAGCAGGCACAACACUUUAAAAAAAUGUGAGUGAAAUGAGACGACAUUAAGGACAGCGUCACUAUGGAGUCGGUCGUCUGAGUGAGUUGAGGGUGCCGGGCAGCCUGAGAG